This 2069-nucleotide unclassified non-coding RNA is filed under the name Hevea brasiliensis (rubber tree). The record is from RNAcentral. Lineage: Eukaryota; Viridiplantae; Streptophyta; Magnoliopsida; Malpighiales; Euphorbiaceae.
CUUCAUCUUACGAUAAAAAUCAGUUUCUUCAAUGUCAUAAUCUCAAAAUGGUUCUAACACUGUCAGCCUUAAGGUCAUCUUGCAGGAACACUAACGAUAUUCCUACUACAGAUAAUCAAUUUGAAAUGAUUUAUACUUUAUACGCCUUCUAUUCUAUGCAUACACAUUUUUUUUUUCUACUUUACGAAACUUUCAUUUUCUUCUAUGUACAGACAAUAUUUCAAGUUUGGACCAAGUUUCUGCAAGCAUGCAAGUUGCAUCAACGCAAUCAUAUGAGCACCAUAUGAAGUUCAACUCAUAGCUUCUCAAGACCAUCCAAUCCAUGUUAUAGUUCAGUGCAACCUCUCUUCCAAUAAGAUGUCCACUUCCUUUCUCCUCUCCCUAGUUUUCUUCUCUGUAGUCAUGAUCUUAUUUGCCACCUCCAUAUCUUCUAAAAAUGUGCAAACAUCAGAAGCAACCGAGCGGUGAUAACAUAAUAGUCAAGCUUAAAAUGAGUGAAAGACUCUGUUGUUCAUAAGAUGCAUUUCAUUUUUAGUAAAGAUCCCUAGUUUUCAUUCUGUAAUGUUUCGAGUAACUUGUAACAUGUUAUUUACACACAAACUCAAUAUGAAGGCAGCUGGAAAAAGAAGCAUGCAAAAAUAGUAACCCAAUUGAUGAUUGUUGGAGAGGGACACUGAAUGGGAAACUAACCGGAAAGUGCUGGCCGAUUGCUCAAUUGGGUUCAGAUACAAUGCUGUAGGGCGAUGAGAUGGUGAAUUUUAUGCCGUCACAUAUUCUGAAAAUGACGAUCCUGUAAACCCAAAUCCAGGCACACUUUGCUACAGUGUCAUCAAGAAGAACCACUAUGGAUCUUUGAUCACGACAUGGCUAUCAAGAUAAAGGAAGAACUCAUGAACUCAUACAAAACAAUUGAUGGUAGAGGGUACAACAUCCAGAUAGCAGGUGGACCGUGCAUAACUAUUCAAAACGUAACAUUAUCAUACAUAACAUCUAUGCACGUGACUGUGCGCCGGGUGAAUUCAGUGGUGAGGGAUUCACCCAAGCAUGUUGCAUGAGAGGUUACUCAGAUGGGGAUGGCACACCCAUAUAUGGGUCUAGGGAUGUGUGGAUUGAUCACUGUACACCAGCCGUGAUGGACUAACCGAUGCUGUAGUCGGCUCAACUUCUAUAACAAUUUCAAACAACUACAUGUUGCAUCCUAAUGAAGUUAUAUGCUUAUAAGUCAUAGCGAUAACUUCCUUGAUGACAAGAAUAUGCAAGUCACUACUGCCUUCAACUUUUUUGGCAGUCUGACACAAAGAAUGCCUAGGUAACUGAAUUCAGUAUCAUUCUGAUAGAACAGCAAGAGCAAUAGCAACAUUAUCAUCCUUUAAUUACUCCCUAUUUCUUGAAGUAUCCGCAGAAAGCUCUAUAAACAUAUAUCUAAACUAUUGCAGGUGCAGGCGAGGCAUUGGUAUCUUCAAAUUGUAAAUAACAUAUGCAGUGGCUAGGAGAUGUAUGCUACCAUAAAUAUCAAAGUUAACAAAUUAAUCACUUUUAGCAACCAAUAAUGAUCAAUUGCUUAACCACAACUAUUCCUGGGAAAGCUGACCUUAUGCAACAUAAUUAGGGAUUAGGACAGUCCAUCCACGCAUAAGGUGGAGAACAAAAAUAGAAUGCAUACAAUUGGUUGGUCUAACCAUUUUCACAUGUGAAUAACUAAUAAGCUAAAAAAAUUUUCAACGUAUUGGGCUGGGUCCAACUAGGAUACGCACAAACUUUGACCAGCACUUGGUCAGACUGAUCCCUUGAUUACUGAGCAGAUACAGUCAGCGUCCUUGAGUUACUAAAGAUUUAACCAUCCCAGGAGAUGGGAAGUGGGAAAAUUGGAAUUGGAAAUCAGAUGGAGAUGUAAUGCUCAAUAGUACUUUCUUUACCCCUUCAUGUGAAACAGGUCCCGAAAACUACAUAGAAGCAUCAAGCUUGGUAGCAAGACCAGCUUCAAUUUUGACAAAUACCUCUCCUGCUGCUGGAGCUCUUGUCUCUGCCGGAGGAUGAUAGCAGUUAGCAAUUAUUUGCUUUAGUCCUUU